Molecule: long non-coding RNA, 1750 nt
Filed under: Heterocephalus glaber (naked mole-rat)
Lineage: Eukaryota; Metazoa; Chordata; Mammalia; Rodentia; Bathyergidae
Description: lncRNA (ENSHGLG00100033944.1)
Source: RNAcentral
GGGGGGCAAAGCGUUGAGCUCCGCGAAGACGCGUGCGUGGCCCGCGCCGGGGCGGGCUGGGGGACCCGGGCGGCCGCAGUUCACACCAGUGCGCCUGCCUUCUCCGCAGGGCCGACCUUGCCUUUGUCACCGAAGGUGGGAGAGCCAAGGCGCUGGCCCCUAGGGGGCGCUUCGAGCCGAGAGAGCGCGCAGAUCCACCCCUCUUACCCAACCUCCCUCCUCCUCACCUGCGCUCGGCCGGCCACCUCGCUCCGUAAACACGGAAGGUCUAGCCCGCCUGCCCUCCACGGCGAUCGCUGCCCAGCGGGAAGGAGCUAACGCAUCCAGGUUGAAGGCAGCUGCUCCGGGACCGACGUCUCUUCCGGCUUUGCUCCCGGCUUCUGGGUCUUUCCGUGCAUCGGCUCUGGGCUGGUGUGCCAUCUUGUGCCAGGCCCUAGCUCCUUGAGAGCUCCCGAGCGUGUAGAUACCUCACCGGUGGGUGCCAACCCAGGAGGCACUCGCAGUGCUGAGUGGACGACCCCGUGGGUGUUUAACCCCAUCUCUCCGUGUUUUGAGAAGAAAUUUAGGGACGAGAAUGGAAACUGAAGCCGGGCGUGGUGACGCACGGCUGUCAUCCCAGGUCUUGGGAGGCUGAGGCAGGAGAAUCGUCUCGAGUUCGAGGCCAGCCUGGGCUACAUAGUAAACCCCGUCUCAAAAAACCAACAACAAAAAAGCCGUAAACCUCCUCCUCUUUUCUUCUUCUCUCUCUCUCUGUCUCUCUCUUUCUUUCUUCUGGACUGGGGAUCAAACUUGGAUCCUUGAGAGGCGGGCGAUGGAACCACUCAGGACCUGUGUUCUAUCACCGACCACUCUAACUGGGAGAGACUGGUUCUCAUCCUCCUCAGGAAUUAUAUUGACUUCACAGUACCCACUGGGUAAAUGGGUGAGUAAACGGGUCCAUCCGUGCCAAGCAGCUUAAUGUGGUUGAUUAAUCAAGGAAUUAGACAUAAAAUUUCAAAUAGCCUCCAGAUAUAAUCCUAUAAUCUUAGCACUUGGGAGGCUGAAGCAGGAGGAUCACCUUGAGUUUGAAGCCAGCCUGGGCUAUAUAGCAAGACCCUGUCUCAAAAGAACAAACAAAUAGCUUCCAGGCAUGGUCUGCCUCCUGUUUUCAUGUUUUCUUCUAAACUUGAGGAACUGUGAGAUAGUCUCAAAAUUCUAACAUGUAUAGCAAGUCUUCUAAAAUAUAAAAUCUUAUAUAUCUCAAAUAUUGAGAAAUGGAUAGAUAUUUACUAUUUACAAGUCAAGUUUCAUUAAUAACAAGACUGAUGGUACAGUCUAAACUUCCAAAAGCCCACCUAAGGGUUCAAUAGUAUUUAAUCCAAUCAAAGUCUGACUAACCUAAAAAUGUAAAUAUAAAAAUAUAAAUCCUAGGCAAUGUCACAUAUUAAUUCAUACAUAAACUAUAGAAAUUGUUUUGGGGCUUUUUUUUUGGUACCAGGGAUCAAACUCAGGACCUUGUGCUUGUGAGGCAGGCGGCAAAACCACUGAGCUAAAUCCCCGCUUGGGGCAUUUUUCAAAGUGGGCUUCUUUGUUUAUUGUGCAGUUUAAAUAUAAAUUAGCUGAGCCUGGUGGUACACACCUGUAAUCCUAGCACUCUGGGCAGGAAGGCUGAGGCAGGAAGAUUGCAAAUUUCACCCCAGCCUGGGCAACUAAGAGAUUUACCAAGAAUCUGUCUCAAAAAAAAAAAAAAUAAAAUAAAAUAAUAAUAAUA